CUCGUAGGCGGUUUGUCACGUCGUCUGUGAAAUCCUAGGGCUUAACCCUGGACGUGCAGGCGAUACGGGCUGACUUGAGUACUACAGGGGAGACUGGAAUUUCUGGUGUAGCGGUGGAAUGCGCAGAUAUCAGGAGGAACACCAAUGGCGAAGGCAGAUCUCUGGGCCGUAACUGACGCUGAGGAGCGAAAGCAUGGGGAGCGAACA
Molecule: ribosomal RNA, 207 nt
Filed under: uncultured bacterium
Lineage: Bacteria
Description: partial 16S ribosomal RNA
Rfam family: Bacterial small subunit ribosomal RNA
Source: RNAcentral